Molecule: long non-coding RNA, 202 nt
Filed under: Mytilus galloprovincialis (Mediterranean mussel)
Lineage: Eukaryota; Metazoa; Mollusca; Bivalvia; Mytilida; Mytilidae
Source: RNAcentral
GUCCAUUAUCAAUGAUUAUCACUGAAAUAGUAUACCUUGUUGUUAUUAUGUUAAGGGGCCAGCGAAAGCAAACCGGGUGUGGGAGUUUCUCCCUGCAUUGAACAGGUUGGAACAAACCCUCUAUAUGAUGAUUAUACCUGUAUAGAGGGAUAAUCCUUCUAUCAUGUCUAUAGAGGGGUAAAAUUAUCCCUCUAUAGAGGGG